CAGCCCGAUGCUCUGGGGCUUCUCUUUUAAUCUUCAUGAUUUCAAAGCCCCGAGGCACGUUCUAGAUCGCCGCCGUUCGUGUUGCUGUUCUCCCUAAUUUUCACGGCCGAUCUGUGUCAAAGUAAUGGCUAAAUAU
Molecule: small nucleolar RNA, 136 nt
Organism: Vicia villosa (hairy vetch)
Lineage: Eukaryota; Viridiplantae; Streptophyta; Magnoliopsida; Fabales; Fabaceae
Product: small nucleolar RNA snoR134
Exons: 1
Source: RefSeq, a predicted model, not a curated record